Molecule: ribosomal RNA, 1025 nt
Filed under: Sphingobacterium sp. H184
Lineage: Bacteria; Pseudomonadati; Bacteroidota; Sphingobacteriia; Sphingobacteriales; Sphingobacteriaceae
Description: bacterial SSU rRNA
Rfam family: Bacterial small subunit ribosomal RNA
Source: RNAcentral
GCUGUACUGCAGUCGGACGGGAUCCAUCGGAGAGCUUGCUCAAAGAUGGUGAGAGUGGCGCACGGGUGCGUAACGCGUGAGCAACCUACCUCUAUCAGGGGGAUAGCCUCUCGAAAGAGAGAUUAACACCGCAUAAUAUAAUUUUCCGGCAUCGUGAAAUUAUUAAAUAUUUAUAGGAUAGGGAUGGGCUCGCGUGACAUUAGCUAGUUGGUAGGGUAACGGCUUACCAAGGCGACGAUGUCUAGGGGCUCUGAGAGGAGAAUCCCCCACACUGGUACUGAGACACGGACCAGACUCCUACGGGAGGCAGCAGUAAGGAAUAUUGGUCAAUGGGCGGAAGCCUGAACCAGCCAUGCCGCGUGCAGGAUGACUGCCCUAUGGGUUGUAAACUGCUUUUGUCCAGGAAUAAACCCAGGUACGUGUACCUGGCUGAAUGUACUGGAAGAAUAAGGAUCGGCUAACUCCGUGCCAGCAGCCGCGGUAAUACGGAGGAUCCGAGCGUUAUCCGGAUUUAUUGGGUUUAAAGGGUGCGUAGGCGGCCUAUUAAGUCAGGGGUGAAAUACGGUGGCUCAACCAUCGCAGUGCCUUUGAUACUGAUGGGCUUGAAUCCAUUUGAAGUGGGCGGAAUAAGACAAGUAGCGGUGAAAUGCAUAGAUAUGUCUUAGAACUCCGAUUGCGAAGGCAGCUCACUAAGCUGGUAUUGACGCUGAUGCACGAAAGCGUGGGGAUCGAACAGGAUUAGAUACCCUGGUAGUCCACGCCCUAAACGAUGAUAACUCGAUGUUGGCGAUAGACAGCCAGCGUCCCAGCGAAAGCGUUAAGUUAUCCACCUGGGGAGUACGCCCGCAAGGGUGAAACUCAAAGGAAUUGACGGGGGCCCGCACAAGCGGAGGAGCAUGUGGUUUAAUUCGAUGAUACGCGAGGAACCUUACCCGGGCUUGAAAGUUAGUGAAGGGAGCAGAGACGCUUCCGUCCUUCGGGACACGAAACUAGGUGCUGCAUGGCUGUCGUCAGCUCGUGCCGUG